Molecule: ribosomal RNA, 370 nt
Filed under: uncultured eukaryote
Lineage: Eukaryota
Description: partial 18S ribosomal RNA
Rfam family: Eukaryotic small subunit ribosomal RNA
Source: RNAcentral
CAAUAGCGUAUAUUAAAGUUGUUGCAGUUAAAAAGCUCGUAGUUGGACCUUGGACCUGGACAGGCGGUCCGCCUCACGGCGUGUACUGUCUUGCUGGGUCUUUCCUCUUGGUGAUCUGUUGUUUCGGCAGCAGGGAACCAGGACUUUUACUUUGAAAAAAUUAGAGUGUUCAAAGCAGGCUCGACGCCGGAAUAUAUUAGCAUGGAAUAAUAAAAUAGGACGUGCGGUUCUAUUUUGUUGGUUUUCGGAAUCGCCGUAAUGAUUAAUAGGGACAGUCGGGGGCAUUAGUACUCACAUGCUAGAGGUGAAAUUCUUGGAUUUUGUGAAGACUAACUUCUGCGAAAGCAUUUGCCAAGGAUGUUUUCAUUAA